UACGAGGGGGGCAAAUGUUGUUCGGAAUCACUGGGCGUAAAGGGAGCGUAGGCGGGUUUCUAAGUCAGGUGUUUAAUCCCGGGGCCCAACCCCGGACAGGCACUUGAAACUGGGAAUCUUGAAUAGGGGAGAGGUCAGUGGAAUUGGAGGUGUAGCGGUGGAAUGCGUAGAGAUCUCCAAGAACACCAGUUGCGAAGGCGGCUGACUGGACCCAUAUUGACGCUGAGGCUCGAAAAGCAUGGGGGAGCAAACAGG
RNAcentral lists this ribosomal RNA (255 nucleotides) under uncultured bacterium. Its description in RNAcentral is "partial 16S ribosomal RNA". It matches the Rfam family "Bacterial small subunit ribosomal RNA", at positions 524 to 776 of the family's 1533-position model. The record is from RNAcentral.